AUUGAACGCUGGCGGCAUGCCUAACACAUGCAAGUCGAACGGAGGUAGGGGCAACUCUACUUCAGUGGCGGACGGGUGAGGAAUGCGUCGGAAUCUACCCUAUGGUGGGGGAUAACACAGGGAAACUUGUGCUAAUACCGCAUAAUGUCGAGAGACCAAAGCAGGGGACCGCAAGGCCUUGCGCGAUAGGAUGAGCCGACGCCCGAUUAGCUAGUUGGUAGGGUAAAGGCCUAUCAAGGCGACGAUCGGUAGCUGGUCUGAGAGGAUGAUCAGCCACACUGGGACUGAGACACGGCCCAGACUCCUACGGGAGGCAGCAGUGGGGAAUAUUGGACAAUGGGCGCAAGCCUGAUCCAGCAAUGCCGCGUGUGUGAAGAAGGCCUGCGGGUUGUAAAGCACUUUUGUUCGGGAGGAAAUCAUGCUGGUUAAUACCUGGUAUGGAUGACGGUACCGAAAGAAUAAGCACCGGCUAACUUCGUGCCAGCAGCCGACGG
RNAcentral lists this ribosomal RNA (494 nucleotides) under uncultured bacterium. Its description in RNAcentral is "bacterial SSU rRNA". It matches the Rfam family "Bacterial small subunit ribosomal RNA", at positions 30 to 520 of the family's 1533-position model. The record is from RNAcentral.